This 164-nucleotide ribosomal RNA is filed under the name uncultured bacterium. RNAcentral's name for it is "partial 16S rRNA". It matches the Rfam family "Bacterial small subunit ribosomal RNA", at positions 355 to 510 of the family's 1533-position model. The record is from RNAcentral.
UAGGGAAUCUUCGGCAAUGGGGGCAACCCUGACCGAGCAACGCCGCGUGAGUGAAGAAGGUUUUCGGAUCGUAAAGCUCUGUUGUAAGAGAAGAACGUGUGUGAGAGUGGAAAGUUCACACUGUGACGGUAACUUACCAGAAAGGGACGGCUAACUACGUGCAG